Molecule: non-coding RNA, 305 nt
Organism: Pelobates cultripes (western spadefoot toad)
Lineage: Eukaryota; Metazoa; Chordata; Amphibia; Anura; Pelobatidae
Source: the annotation of a GenBank genome assembly
UCACUCAACGCCUCAACAUGGACUCACCACAUGAUCACCCCCUCAGCUCCCCUUACCUCACCAAUUUGCUCAAAGAAGGGGAAGAGUGCGGUACCCACAAGGAGGAAAGCACCAGAGCCACCUCCGGUCUAGCCCAAACCCCCUACACGCUACAGGGACUGGUCCGAAAAAGCUACAUACCUCUGUGCAAACACCCACAUGGAACACCCGCACACUGCCUCCCUGGGAAGCCUGGAAGCAGUCUCCAUCGACUGAAGGGGUCCACAGACUCGCUCCCCGCCCAGCACCAACCUUGCUACCUACAG